This 279-nucleotide ribosomal RNA is filed under the name uncultured bacterium. RNAcentral describes it as "partial 16S ribosomal RNA". It matches the Rfam family "Bacterial small subunit ribosomal RNA", at positions 506 to 784 of the family's 1533-position model. The record is from RNAcentral.
UGCCAGCCGCCGCGGUAAUACGGAGGGUGCAAGCGUUAAUCGGAAUUACUGGGCGUAAAGCGCACGUAGGUGGUUUGUUAAGCUAGCUGUGAAAGCCCUGGGCUCAACCUGGGAAUUGCAGUUAGAACUGGCAGGCUAGAGUAUGGCAGAGGAGUGUGGAAUUUCCGGUGUAGCGGUGAAAUGCGUAGAUAUCGGAAGGAACACCAGUGGCGAAGGCGACACUCUGGGCUAAUACUGACGCUGAGGUGCGAAAGCGUGGGGAGCAAACAGGAUUAGAUA